UACGUAGGGGGCAAGCGUUGUCCGGAUUUAUUGGGCGUAAAGAGCGUGUAGGCGGCCAGGUAGGUCUGCUGUGAAAACUCGAGGCUCAACCUCGAGAUGUCGGCGGAAACCAUCUGGCUAGAGUCCGGAAGAGGAGAAUGGAAUUCCCGGUGUAGCGGUGAAAUGCGCAGAUAUCAGGAAGAACACCCGUGGCGAAAGCGGCUCUCUGGAACGGUACUGACGCUGAGACGCGAAAGCGUGGGGAGCGAACAGG
Molecule: ribosomal RNA, 253 nt
Filed under: uncultured bacterium
Lineage: Bacteria
Description: partial 16S ribosomal RNA
Rfam family: Bacterial small subunit ribosomal RNA
Source: RNAcentral